RNAcentral lists this transfer RNA (90 nucleotides) under Thermaceae bacterium. RNAcentral describes it as "tRNA-Ser". It matches the Rfam family "tRNA". Rfam says of the family: Transfer RNA (tRNA) molecules are approximately 80 nucleotides in length. Their secondary structure includes four short double-helical elements and three loops (D, anti-codon, and T loops). Lineage: Bacteria; Thermotogati; Deinococcota; Deinococci; Thermales; Thermaceae. The record is from RNAcentral.
GGAGGGAUGGCCGAGUGGUUUAAGGCGGCGGUCUUGAAAACCGUUGUAGACGUGAGCCUACCGGGGGUUCGAAUCCCUCUCCCUCCGCCA